UAAACAAAUAAUUAUUUUGGGUUUUAGAAACCUACACUUGUUCUAUCACGCCACACUUGUUCUAUCACGCACACUACUUCAUCAUUUUCUUUCAUUUGACCAGUUCCCUCACAUCUUUCUAGCUCUUUCACCCCUCACACCCUCUCUUUUCCCCAUUUCCAGCCGACUCUCUCUCUAACAAUUCACUCAACCUCACAAUUCUCAACUAUCUCCCACCCAUCUCAGACUCUCUCUCCUUCGCUCUCCCUCUCAGUAACACGCCAAAACACCACCAUAACCACCUCCAAAAAUUGUCAAAACAUCACCAUCUCAUCCAAGCUUCCUCCAAAGCCACCCAAAAACUCUCAAAACACUAAGGACGCCCUGCAACUCAUCCAAAAUCUUGUGACCGUUUUAAAGGAAAAAUAUGAAGUUUUCGUUUCGUGUCUCGAAGGAACCUGACGAAGAAAACCAUCUCCGACUUGGUAAGCUUUGAUUUCUUCAUUUUCUGAGCAUUCCUCAAGUUGUUCAAACGUUUCCUUGAAAAGCAUGUGGCUUUUGGACGUAUCGUUUAGCUUUUUCCUUAUGCACCAUGUUUUUCGGCGUGUUGAAGGAUUUUUCCAAGCUAAACCCAUCCAAACCUUGUCGAGUUGAUCGAGUUUGAAGGUGUUGGACGACUUCCCAAAACCCCUAGACCAUGGAUUUAAGUUUGCAUGCUCGAAACCCGCUAUAUCUAGAAAGUCCCGAAUAUGGUAGUGGCUUUUAAGCCAAUUUCCAGUCACCUCCGCCAAGUUUUGUUCCCCCAAUGAGGUUUUAGUGGCAGAGCUCAUGUUGUCGAUGACUUUUAAUGGCAAACAUUGGCGGAUUCAUAUACGGACCAAGGUGGUCCUAGGACCACCCGGAUGCCAGAAAAACGCCUAUGAAGAUCCUUGGAGGAGGUAGAGGAGUUGCAAUCAAAAUGACAUAGUUAUGGAUGGACCGUGGUACAAUCAAAAUUCUGGUGCACUGCAUCCAUGAAGGAGGUAGAGGAGUUGCAGCUUCCCCGCAAGGAAGAAGGUUGAUGAUUUUAUUUCCCUCAACCCAAUAUUCGUGAAGUCUAUCCUAUAUGAGAUCAUCUAUUUAUCCAUGCUUUCACGUUCUGAAUUAAAUAAAUAAAAAAUUUUAUGCGUUUGGAAAAACGCAUAAGAAAAUUUAUUUACUUAAUUCAACAAAAUGAGAAAAUAUAUGUGAGUUAGUGUUAUUCACACACUCAUUUUUAUCUCUGCCACACUUUUGUUAAAUUUUUGUAUAGAAUAUAUGAGAAGUCAAAAUAAAUGUAUGGAUAAAACUACCUUAUAUAUGUUGUGCACUUGACUUUAAUUUAGAUUACUUUUUAUUGACAUGCUUAUAUAUGUUGUAGUCUUCACCUUCUUUAUGAAGUCGUCUAAAGACCUAUAUUUAAUCACGUGAAAUUUUCUUUAAAACUUGAUGGGACAAUUUUAAUACUUAAAAAAUGAAAGGGAAAAUAAUAAGAAAGAAUUUGAGAGACUUGGAGUAGACGGAAAAAAAAAUGGGAUUCUCAGCUGUAAACUUUGAGCAUUUUCUUAUCAAAUCACGUCAAUUACUCUAGUUAGUUUAAAUUUGAGGAAAAUUAAAUGGAAAGUUCAAUCUGAGUUGACAUUAACGAGUAACAACGAACUUACUAACGUACGUAUUAUUCAAAUUUUAUUUACCGUAUAAGUAAAAUUAUACGUUACAUGCAUCACAUUUAUAAUUUAUGCAGUUUAAUGUUGUCAUUUUUUACUGAGGGAUGGGAUGAAUUUGGCUGUAUCAACCUGCAUGAUGUACAUACAUGCAUCAAGUUUAAGCUAAGAUCAUGAAAUGCAGUCUUGAAUUAUACGUUAUCAAAACCUCGUAAGUUAAAUCAAAUUUGGACUCUUGUCCGUAACAUAUUCCAAAACCGAUCCGUUUCUUCGAGUCCGACAAAACCCCAAUCCGUUACCGAAUCCUCUCUCUCAUGAUCUCAGAUUCUCAGCUCCAUUCAGGCCAUGAUGACUUCUACCCGUUCUGUUCUCGUGACCCGCGUGACCUCCCACCGUUAUUCCCACGUGCCAAAUAACCAACUAAAACCUCUUCUCUACCUUCAGAAGGGGUGCAACUUGGACAGGUUUGAAGAUUUACCCAAUCCUAAUCCAACUUUUACAAUUUGAGCUUGGGUUCGGGUUGGAUUUCAUUCAGGUUCAUUUGGGCUCGGGUUUAAUUGGGUUAAGGUUUACUUGAGUUGGGUUCGGAUUGCCCAACUUUUUCAAGUUUAAUCUUAUAACAACUUAGUUUCCAAGAAUUGCAAAAAAAAUUAAGCCAAGUAGAGCAUCAAAGCUGGCUAACUUUAAUUUCAUAAAUCAAUAUACUAUAAAGCUUUAGGAUUUAGAGACUACGAAUAUGAAUUGACUAAUCAAAGUCUCUUGGUCCCUAAUAGCUUAAGUAAUUAUAAAGGGUAAUUUAUCAAAAAAUAUAUUAGAAAGGGCGUUGGUUUUUGAACUUGGCUCACUUGGGUGUAGUAUGAGCAUUAAUUGAUAUGGGUUACAAUUUGGUUAGAUUGGGUUUGGGUUGGAUUGGGUUGGGGAUGGACAUGCAAAUGAUCAACCAAACUCAAUGAAAUCAAUGAACGAGUAGAAAUUGGGUUGGGUUCGGACGGGUUAUAACUAACUAAACCCAUUUGUUCGAGUUUAAAGUCAGAUUGGAC
Molecule: non-coding RNA, 2701 nt
Organism: Malus domestica (apple)
Lineage: Eukaryota; Viridiplantae; Streptophyta; Magnoliopsida; Rosales; Rosaceae
Source: RefSeq, a predicted model, not a curated record